This 497-nucleotide ribosomal RNA is filed under the name uncultured bacterium. RNAcentral describes it as "bacterial SSU rRNA". It matches the Rfam family "Bacterial small subunit ribosomal RNA", at positions 355 to 866 of the family's 1533-position model. The record is from RNAcentral.
UUGGGAAUCUUGCACAAUGGGGGAAACCCUGAUGCAGCGACGCCGCGUGGAGGAUGAAGGAUCUAGGUCUGUAAACUCCUUUUGUUGGGAAAGACUUAGGACGGUACCCAACGAAUAAGCACCGGCUAACUACGUGCCAGCAGCCGCGGUAAGACGUAGGGUGCAAGCGUUGUCCGGAUUUACUGGGCGUAAAGAGCGCGUAGGCGGCUCGUUAAGUGUGAAGUGAAAUCUCCAGGGCUCAACCCGGAAACCGCUUUACAUACUGGCAAGCUUGAGGAAUGCAGAGGUUAGUGGAAUUCCUGGUGUAGCGGUGAAAUGCGUUGAUAUCAGGAGGAACACCCAUGGCGAAGGCAGCUAACUGGGCAUUAUCUGACGCUGAGGCGCGAAAGCGUGGGUAGCAAACAGGAUUAGAUACCCUGGUAGUCCACGCCCUAAACGAUGGAUACUAGGCGUAAGAGGUAUCGACCCCUCUUGUGCCGCAGCUAACGCACUAAGUA